GUGAGGAAUAUUGGACAAUGGAGGAAACUCUGAUCCAGCCAUGCCGCGUGAGCGAUGAAGGCCUUAGGGUUGUAAAGCUCUUUCAGCUGGGAAGAUAAUGACUGUACCAGCAGAAGAAGCCCCGGCUAACUCCGUGCCAGCAGCCGCGGUAAUACGGAGGGGGCUAGCGUUGUUCGGAAUUACUGGGCGUAAAGCGCACGUAGGCGGACCGGAAAGUCAGAGGUGAAAUCCCAGGGCUCAACCUUGGAACUGCCUUUGAAACUCCUGGUCUUGAGGUCGAGAGAGGUGAGUGGAAUUCCGAGUGUAGAGGUGAAAUUCGUAGAUAUUCGGAGGAACACCAGUGGCGAAGGCGGCUCACUGGCUCGAUACUGACGCUGAGGUGCGAAAGCGUGGGGAGCAAACAGGAUUAGAUACCCUAGUAGUCC
RNAcentral lists this ribosomal RNA (425 nucleotides) under uncultured bacterium. RNAcentral describes it as "partial 16S ribosomal RNA". It matches the Rfam family "Bacterial small subunit ribosomal RNA", at positions 354 to 796 of the family's 1533-position model. The record is from RNAcentral.